Molecule: ribosomal RNA, 474 nt
Filed under: uncultured bacterium
Lineage: Bacteria
Description: bacterial SSU rRNA
Rfam family: Bacterial small subunit ribosomal RNA
Source: RNAcentral
UCGAGCGAGGUCCAAUUGGUAGCAAUACCAAGGAAGACCUAGCGGCGAACGGGUGAGUAUCACGUGAGAAACCUGCCCCGAAGACCGGGAUAACCCGGGGAAACCCGAGCUAAUACCGGAUGCCCUCCUUUGAUCGCAUGGUCGAUGGAGGAAAUGGUUUACUCCGCUUCGGGAGGGUCUCGCGGCCUAUCAGCUAGUUGGUGAGGUAACGGCUCACCAAGGCAUUGACGGGUAGCUGGUCUGAGAGGACGAUCAGCCACACUGGGACUGAGACACGGCCCAGACUCCUACGGGAGGCAGCAGUGGGGAAUCUUGCGCAAUGGGCGAAAGCCUGACGCAGCAACGCCGCGUGGGGGACGAAGGCUCUCGGGUUGUAAACCCCUUUCAGCAGGGACGAAAAUGACGGUACCUGCAGAAGAAGCCCCGGCCAACUACGUGCCAGCAGCCGCGGUAACACGUAGGGGGCAAGCGUUG